UGCGAACGUAGUUCAGGGGUAGAACACAACCUUGCCAUGGUUGGGGUCGCGAGUUCGAAUCUCGUCGUUCGAC
This 73-nucleotide transfer RNA is filed under the name Lactococcus lactis subsp. lactis KF147. RNAcentral describes it as "tRNA-Gly". It matches the Rfam family "tRNA". Rfam says of the family: Transfer RNA (tRNA) molecules are approximately 80 nucleotides in length. Their secondary structure includes four short double-helical elements and three loops (D, anti-codon, and T loops). The record is from RNAcentral. Lineage: Bacteria; Bacillati; Bacillota; Bacilli; Lactobacillales; Streptococcaceae.